Molecule: long non-coding RNA, 369 nt
Organism: Phyllopteryx taeniolatus (common seadragon)
Lineage: Eukaryota; Metazoa; Chordata; Actinopteri; Syngnathiformes; Syngnathidae
Exons: 5
Source: RefSeq, a predicted model, not a curated record
AGACAGUAGUAAGCCACUAGGGAGGUCAUUACAGCUGCAAUCAAUUAGAAAACAAAGCAUGAUGUAGAGCUCCUCUCCUAAUAGCAGCGUUUCUCUCGUUAAUCACUACGAAGUGCAAGAAUGUCAUGUUUAAACGUGACUCUUCGCUGCAUGCUUCAGUUUAAUUGAUUGGACACCAAAUGCUUCAGGAUUUGUUUUCCCCUCCUCAGAGACCGGCGGCUUCAUUCUAGCUGCGGCGUAACGUUUCGCCCCGCGUGGACGGAUUCGAUUGACGACUAGACUCGACUGGAGAGUCGCGCACCUUCACGCGCUGGUCCAGCUGCGUGCACAGCAACCAGCCCGCUGCCCACCCUCAGCGAUGUCGUGGCU